Molecule: long non-coding RNA, 242 nt
Organism: Centruroides sculpturatus (bark scorpion)
Lineage: Eukaryota; Metazoa; Arthropoda; Arachnida; Scorpiones; Buthidae
Exons: 3
Source: RefSeq, a predicted model, not a curated record
AGUAUCGAUAAAACUUUCAAACUUUUGUCUUUCUGAAGAAGACACCGAAAUAGUAAAAUUUUUAAUGAUAAGAUUUAAAAAAGAAGUAGGAUUAAAGUGGAUAGGAGAUGUUAUCAUUACUAGAAAGACUUCUUUGAAGGUAUUAAGUACCGUCGCUUCAAUUACUUUUACUCUUUUGCAAGUUAAACAAAUUAGGGACAAACAUUUACGACAGUAAAUUAUUGUAUGUUUACAACAUUAAU